CGGGGUUAACUCGGAGGAAGGUGGGGAUGACGUCAAAUCAUCAUGCCCCUUAUGUCCAGGGCUUCACACAUGCUACAAUGGUCGGUACAACGCGCUGCGAGCCUGUGAGGGUGAGCGAAUCGCUGAAAGCCGGCCUCAGUUCGGAUUGGGGUCUGCAACUCGACCCCAUGAAGUCGGAGUCGCUAGUAAUCGCAGAUCAGCAACGCUGCGGUGAAUACGUUCCCGGGCCUUGUACACACCGCCCGUCACGUCAUGAAAGUUGGUAACACCCGAAGCCAGUGGCCUAACCCUUGUGGGGGAGCUGUCGAAGGUGGGAUCGGCGAUUGGGACGAAGUCGUAACAAGGUAGCCGUACCGGAAGGUGCGGCUGGAUCACCUCCUUUCUAAGGAG
RNAcentral lists this ribosomal RNA (390 nucleotides) under Corynebacterium diphtheriae. RNAcentral's name for it is "bacterial SSU rRNA". It matches the Rfam family "Bacterial small subunit ribosomal RNA", at positions 1153 to 1533 of the family's 1533-position model. The record is from RNAcentral. Lineage: Bacteria; Bacillati; Actinomycetota; Actinomycetes; Mycobacteriales; Corynebacteriaceae.